AACGAACGCUGGCGGCAGGCCUAACACAUGCAAGUCGAACGGACGUAGCAAUACGUUAGUGGCGCACGGGAGAGUAACGCGUGGGAACCUACCUUUUGGUUCGGGAUAACAUCGGGAAACUGGUGCUAAUACCGGAUAAGCCCUUCGGGGGAAAGAUUUAUUGCCGAAAGAUGGGCCCGCGUUGGAUUAGCUAGUUGGUGAGGUAAUGGCUCACCAAGGCAACGAUCCAUAGCUGGUCUGAGAGGAUGAUCAGCCUCACUGGGACUGAGACACGGCCCAGACUCCUACGGGAGGCAGCAGUGGGGAAUAUUGGACAAUGGGGAAACCCUGAUCCAGCCAUGCCGCGUGAAUGAUGAAGGCCUUCGGGUUGUAAAGUUCUUUUGGUGGGGACGAUGAUGACGGUACCCACAGAAUAAGCUCCGGCUAACUUCGUGCCAGCCGCCGCCGUAA
This 450-nucleotide ribosomal RNA is filed under the name uncultured bacterium. Its description in RNAcentral is "partial 16S ribosomal RNA". It matches the Rfam family "Bacterial small subunit ribosomal RNA", at positions 29 to 523 of the family's 1533-position model. The record is from RNAcentral.